CUGCAGCCAAUUAAGCUGACUGGCAGCCUUUCCCCAUGGGAGCCCAGCAGACAGCAUCCUCCCUGGGAGUAUACAUAGCUUACUGCUUGUAUGGGUUGCACUAAUGGAACUUGUAGACAGCC
Molecule: small nucleolar RNA, 122 nt
Filed under: Choloepus hoffmanni (Hoffmann's two-fingered sloth)
Lineage: Eukaryota; Metazoa; Chordata; Mammalia; Pilosa; Megalonychidae
Description: Small nucleolar RNA SNORA70 (ENSCHOG00000015625.1)
Rfam family: Small nucleolar RNA SNORA70
About the family: snoRNA U70 seems to be exclusive to mammals and is a member of the H/ACA class of snoRNA which contain H (ANANNA) and ACA box motifs. H/ACA box snoRNAs are involved in the conversion of uridines to pseudouridines (5-ribosyluracil) a constituent of structural RNAs (transfer, ribosomal, small nuclear, and small nucleolar).
Source: RNAcentral